Non-coding RNA from Schistosoma margrebowiei, 45 nucleotides. The record is from Rfam. NCBI's taxonomy places the organism in Eukaryota, Metazoa, Platyhelminthes, Trematoda, Strigeidida, Schistosomatidae.
AUCCAGUUGACGAGUCCCAAAUAGGAUGAAAUACGCGUCCUAGAU